AAAUCUCACGCUCCACCUGAAAUUCUGAUGCACCUCUCAGGUCGGGGGGGAGACCUCCCCACCGCGUGACGAGGCACCAUGAUGCUCAGGA
This is a microRNA precursor of Equus caballus (horse), 91 nucleotides long. The record is from Ensembl. NCBI's taxonomy places the organism in Eukaryota, Metazoa, Chordata, Mammalia, Perissodactyla, Equidae.